Molecule: ribosomal RNA, 750 nt
Filed under: uncultured bacterium
Lineage: Bacteria
Description: bacterial SSU rRNA
Rfam family: Bacterial small subunit ribosomal RNA
Source: RNAcentral
UAGAGUUUGAUUAUGGCUCAGGAUGAACGCUGGCGGCAUGCCUAAUACAUGCAAGUCGAACGAGAGACCUUCGGGUCUCUAGUGGCGAACGGGUGAGUAACACGUAGGGAACCUGCCCGCGCACCGGGAAUACGCUCUGGAAACGGAGAACAAAUCCCGAUGUACAGGAAGGAGGCAUCUUCUUUCUGUGAAACAUCCUUUAGGGGAUGGGGCGCGGAUGGACCUGCGGUGCAUUAGUUGGUUGGCGGGGUAAAGGCCCACCAAGACGAUGAUGCAUAGCCGGCCUGAGAGGGCGGACGGCCACAUUGGGACUGAGACACGGCCCAGACUCCUGCGGGAGGCAGCAGUAGGGAAUUUUCGUCAAUGGGCGCAAGCCUGAACGAGCGAUGCCGCGUGAGUGAAGAAGGCCUUCGGGUCGUAAAGCUCUGUUGCGGGGGAAAAAAGGCAGCAUCAGGAAAUGGGUGCUGACUGAUGGUGCCCCGCCAGAAAGUCACGGCUAACUACGUGCCAGCAGCCGCGGUAAUACGUAGGUGGCGAGCGUUAUCCGGAAUGAUUGGGCGUAAAGGGUGCGCAGGCGGUCCUGCAAGUCUGGAGUGAAACGCAUGAGCUCAACUCAUGCAUGGCUUUGGAAACUGGAGGACUGGAGAGCAGGAGAGGGCGGUGGAACUCCAUGUGUAGCGGUAAAAUGCGUAGAUAUAUGGAAGAACACCAGUGGCGAAGGCGGCCGCCUGGCCUGUUGCUGACGCUGAG